UGAAUACGAGACGCUAAGGCGUCGAAGUAGUGUAUGUCAUACUUCCAAGAAAAGCUUGCACUGUCAUAGAUAAAAAACGCCUGUACCAUAACCGACACAGGUGGGUAGGUAGAGUAUACUAAGGGGCGCGAGAUAACUCUCUCUAAGGAACUCGGCAAAAUAACUCCGUAACUUCGGGAGAAGGAGUGCCUUAUUUAUAAGGCUGCAAUAACAAGAUCCAAGCAACUGUUUAUCAAAAACACAGGUCUCCGCUAAGUCGUAAGACGAUGUAUGGGGGCUGACGCCUGCCCAGUGCCAGAAGGUUAAAGAAGUUGGUUAGCUUUUGCGAAGCUGAUAACUGAAGCCCUGGUGAACGGCGGCCGUAACAAUAACGGUCCUAAGGUAGCGAAAUUCCUUGUCGGGUAAGUUCCGACCCGCACGAAAGGCGUAAUGAUUUGGAUACUGUCUCGGAGAGGGGCUCGGUGAAAUAGACUUGUCUGUGAAGAUGCGGACUACCUGCACCAGGACAGAAAGACCCUAUGAAGCUUUACUGUAACUUGAAAUUAAAAUUGGACUUUAUUCGCGCAGCAUAGGUGGGAGGCGUUGAUUAUAAUCUCGUGGGAUUAUUGGAGCCAUCAGUGAGAUACCACUCUUGUAAUGUUAGAUUUCUAACUUUGAAUCAUUAUCUGGUCAAAGAACAGUUUCAGGCGGGCAGUUUGACUGGGGCGGUCGCCUCCUAAACGGUAACGGAGGCGUACAAAGGUUUCCUCUGAACGGUUAGAAAUCGUAUCUAGAGUGUAAAGGCAUAAGGAAGCUUGACUGUGAGACCUACAAGUCGAGCAGGGACGAAAGUCGGUCUUAGUGAUCUGACGGUACUGAGUGGAAAGGCCGUCACUCAACGGAUAAAAGUUACUCUAAGGAUAACAGGCUGAUCUCCCCCAAGAGUUCACAUCGACGGGGAGGUUUGGCACCUCGAUGUCGGCUCAUCGCAUCCUGGGGCGGUAGUACGUCCCAAGGGUUGGGCUGUUCGCCCAUGAAAGCGGUACGUGAGCUGGGUUCAGAACGUCGUGAGACAGUUCGGUCCAUAUCCGGUGUAGGCGUUAGAAUAUUGAGAGGAGCCUUCUUUAGUACGAGAGGACCGAGAAGGACAUACCUCUGGUGUACCAGUUAUCGUGCCAACGGUAAACGCUGGGUAGCUAUGUAUGGAGUAGAUAACCGCUGAAAGCAUCUAAGUGGGAAGCCCACCUCAAGAUAAGUAUUCUC
Molecule: ribosomal RNA, 1242 nt
Filed under: metagenome
Description: bacterial LSU rRNA
Rfam family: Bacterial large subunit ribosomal RNA
Source: RNAcentral